UGAAAAAUAGGAAAGUAUAUCAUAAUUAUUGUCACAUAAGAUAGCAGCACAGCAGGCGGGAACUUCAAGGCGCACGGAUAUCACCAAAGUUAAACAGCAUUGAGCGUGGUUAGUAGUUGGAUGGGUGACUGCUGGUGUUACAGCCGUACAAUUAUAAGUAAUCCUUUUUUUUUUUAAUUUUAAUUCAUUAUAGAGAAUUGCGUAUGACUCUAUGAAAUACUA
Cotesia glomerata is the source of this 222-nucleotide long non-coding RNA. RefSeq lists it as uncharacterized. The transcript is spliced from 4 exons. The record is from RefSeq and is a predicted model, not a curated record. NCBI's taxonomy places the organism in Eukaryota, Metazoa, Arthropoda, Insecta, Hymenoptera, Braconidae.